UACGAAGGGGGCUAGCGUUGCUCGGAAUCACUGGGCGUAAAGCGCACGUAGGCGGAUCUUUAAGUCAGGGGUGAAAUCCUGGAGCUCAACUCCAGAACUGCCUUUGAUACUGGGGAUCUCGAGUCCGGAAGAGGUGAGUGGAACUCCGGGUGUAGAGGUGAAAUUCGUAGAUAUUCGGAAGAACACCAGUGGCGAAGGCGGCUCACUGGUCCGGUACUGACGCUGAGGUGCGAAAGCGUGGGGAGCAAACAGG
RNAcentral lists this ribosomal RNA (253 nucleotides) under uncultured bacterium. RNAcentral describes it as "partial 16S ribosomal RNA". It matches the Rfam family "Bacterial small subunit ribosomal RNA", at positions 524 to 776 of the family's 1533-position model. The record is from RNAcentral.